Gallus gallus (chicken) is the source of this 990-nucleotide long non-coding RNA. The record is from Ensembl. Lineage: Eukaryota; Metazoa; Chordata; Aves; Galliformes; Phasianidae.
CUACUGCGUCACGUCCCCCCCGCUCCUCCGUGAGGACGUCGGCACCGGGCCGGAGUGCCGCUACCGGUGACGGAUAUCCCGGGUCCGUUGCCCGCUCGAAGCAGAAAGCAGCGACGCGGGAACUGGCGUGCGCUUGGUUUGCUCUCUCGAGUUGCAAAAUCCAGGGAAAUUGUGUUUUCGUGUGUAGCGGCCGUGAGUAACUUUGACCGAAGCAUCCUUCCUUCCUGCCCGUUCUGAAGGAAGGAAUCUCUCCCUUGCCUUUGGUCUCCGUGCUGACGGGAACUCAUACGGGCUUGGUUACUUCAGCCGCUGCUAGGGGAGAGGGGGCCGUGCCGGAGCGGCUGUCACACGGCGUGCUGAGGGGACUUUCCCUUCCUAAGUGGCUGUUCAUAUUCCUUUGCUCGAGCCCCACAUGAACACAGAUUUCAGCACCAUCCAAUAAUAAUCUGAAAAUUGCCUUCAUGGGUGAAGAUUGCUUUGAGUGGCAUUACUGGAAGUUACCCAUAGCCCUGCCUUAAUCUGGUAAGAAUAAUUCAGUAGACCAUCUCAUGGCCACUGUUAGAUGUAAGAUGUCCUUACAUUAAUUAUCUUCUUGAUUUUAAGUCAUUGUCAUUGUUUUGAUAGAUUUUUCUUACGCGGUCCCAUUUUGACAUGUUAGUUGCCUUUGGAAAGGUUUAUUCUUCAUUUGUUUUGAAUAGGUCUGGGAAGACUUCCUAAAAAAUCAUUUCCAUAUCCAGCCUAUCAGCUAGAGUAAGGAUAUGUAUCCAAAUGAUCAGAGUAAUUCUUGCCCAUGCCUGGUUUGGAUGAGGAGUACAUACAUGAGGACUUCAAGAUGCCACAAGUCUUGGGGUGGCACACCCGCACUGCGGGAGCAGGGAGACGGCUUUGCAGCGCUGAGUGCAAAAAGAGAAGUACAGAAUAAAUAAUUCAUCGCCAACCUUACUGUUACGAUAGAUCUGCACAGGCUCAUGGCUAAGACAAGGAAAACGG